GCCUGGUUCAAGUAUGGUGGUGUUUGCAACUGAUUGAUCACAACCAGUUACAGAUUUCUUUGUUCCUUCUCCAUUACCACUGCUUCACUUGACUAGCCUUAA
RNAcentral lists this Y RNA (102 nucleotides) under Microcebus murinus (gray mouse lemur). RNAcentral describes it as "Y RNA (ENSMICG00000046618.1)". It matches the Rfam family "Y RNA". From Rfam's summary of the family: Y RNAs are components of the Ro ribonucleoprotein particle (Ro RNP), in association with Ro60 and La proteins. The Y RNAs and Ro60 and La proteins are well conserved, but the function of the Ro RNP is not known. In humans the RNA component can be one of four small RNAs -- hY1, hY3, hY4 and hY5. Lineage: Eukaryota; Metazoa; Chordata; Mammalia; Primates; Cheirogaleidae. The record is from Rfam by way of RNAcentral.